RNAcentral lists this ribosomal RNA (377 nucleotides) under uncultured eukaryote. RNAcentral describes it as "partial 18S ribosomal RNA". It matches the Rfam family "Eukaryotic small subunit ribosomal RNA", at positions 592 to 976 of the family's 1831-position model. The record is from RNAcentral.
CAAUAGCGUAUAUUAAAGUUGUUGCAGUUAAAAAGCUCGUAGUUGGAUUUGUGGCUGUCGCAUGCGGCCCGCAUUCGUGCGGUGUUUGCUAGCGUCGCCAUCCUUGGGUGGAACCUGUGUGGCAUUAGGUUGUCGUGCAGGGGAUGCCCAUCGUUUACUGUGAAAAAAUUAGAGUGUUCAAAGCAGGCUUACGCCGUUGAAUAUAUUAGCAUGGAAUAAUAAGAUAGGACCUUGGUACUAUUUUGUUGGUUUGCGCACCAAGGUAAUGAUUAAUAGGGACAGUUGGGGGUAUUCGUAUUCCAUUGUCAGAGGUGAAAUUCUUGGAUUUUUGGAAGACGAACUACUGCGAAAGCAUUUACCAAGGAUGUUUUCAUUAA